This is a non-coding RNA of Caenorhabditis elegans, 21 nucleotides long. The record is from Ensembl. NCBI's taxonomy places the organism in Eukaryota, Metazoa, Nematoda, Chromadorea, Rhabditida, Rhabditidae.
UUCGGACAUAAUAUCGUAGAC